GCUAUACUGCAGUCGAACGCACUCUCGUUUAGAUUGAAGGAGCUUGCUCCUGAUUGAUAAACAUUUGAGUGAGUGGCGGACGGGUGAGUAACACGUGGGUAACCUGCCCUAAAGUGGGGGAUAACAUUUGGAAACAGAUGCUAAUACCGCAUAAAACCUAACACCGCAUGGUGUAGGGUUGAAAGAUGGUUUCGGCUAUCACUUUAGGAUGGACCCGCGGUGCAUUAGUUAGUUGGUGAGGUAAAGGCUCACCAAGACCGUGAUGCAUAGCCGACCUGAGAGGGUAAUCGGCCACACUGGGACUGAGACACGGCCCAGACUCCUACGGGAGGCAGCAGUAGGGAAUCUUCCACAAUGGACGAAAGUCUGAUGGAGCAACGCCGCGUGAGUGAAGAAGGUUUUCGGAUCGUAAAACUCUGUUGUUGGAGAAGAAUGUAUCUGAUAGUAACUGAUCAGGUAGUGACGGUAUCCAACCAGAAAGCCACGGCUAACUACGUGCCAGCAGCCGCGGUAAUACGUAGGUGGCAAGCGUUGUCCGGAUUUAUUGGGCGUAAAGCGAGCGCAGGCGGUUUCUUAAGUCUGAUGUGAAAGCCUUCGGCUCAACCGAAGAAGUGCAUCGGAAACUGGGAAACUUGAGUGCAGAAGAGGACAGUGGAACUCCAUGUGUAGCGGUGAAAUGCGUAGAUAUAUGGAAGAACACCAGUGGCGAAGGCGGCUGUCUGGUCUGUAACUGACGCUGAGGCUCGAAAGCAUGGGUAGCAAACAGGAUUAGAUACCCUGGUAGUCCAUGCCGUAAACGAUGAGUGCUAGGUGUUGGAGGGUUUCCGCCCUUCAGUGCCGCAGCUAACGCAUUAAGCACUCCGCCUGGGGAGUACGACCGCAAGGUUGAAACUCAAAGGAAUUGACGGGGGCCCGCACAAGCGG
Molecule: ribosomal RNA, 924 nt
Filed under: Latilactobacillus sakei
Lineage: Bacteria; Bacillati; Bacillota; Bacilli; Lactobacillales; Lactobacillaceae
Description: bacterial SSU rRNA
Rfam family: Bacterial small subunit ribosomal RNA
Source: RNAcentral